Molecule: ribosomal RNA, 252 nt
Filed under: uncultured bacterium
Lineage: Bacteria
Description: partial 16S ribosomal RNA
Rfam family: Bacterial small subunit ribosomal RNA
Source: RNAcentral
CGGGUGAGUAACGCGUGGGUAACCUGCCUUAUACAGGGGGAUAACAGUCAGAAAUGGCUGCUAAUACCGCAUAAGCGCACAGAGCUGCAUGGCUCAGUGUGAAAAACUCCGGUGGUAUAAGAUGGACCCGCGUUGGAUUAGCUUGUUGGUGGGGUAACGGCCCACCAAGGCGACGAUCCAUAGCCGGCCUGAGAGGGUGAACGGCCACAUUGGGACUGAGACACGGCCCAGACUCCUACGGGAGGCAGCAUG